UACGAAGGGUGCAAACGUUGCUCGGAAUCAUUGGGCGUAAAGCGCGUGUAGGCGGCCCGGUAAGUCCGCUGUGAAAGUCCAGGGCUCAACCCUGGGAUGCCGGUGGAUACUGUCGGGCUCGAGUCCGGAAGAGGCGAGUGGAAUUCCUGGUGUAGCGGUGGAAUGCGCAGAUAUCAGGAGGAACACCAAUAGCGAAGGCAGCUCGCUGGGACGUUACUGACACUGAGGCGCGAAAGCGUGGGGAGCGAACAGG
RNAcentral lists this ribosomal RNA (253 nucleotides) under uncultured bacterium. RNAcentral's name for it is "partial 16S ribosomal RNA". It matches the Rfam family "Bacterial small subunit ribosomal RNA", at positions 524 to 776 of the family's 1533-position model. The record is from RNAcentral.